AACGAACGCUGGCGGCAUGCCUAACACAUGCAAGUCGAACGAGACCUUCGGGUCUAGUGGCCCCCGGGUGCGUAACGCGUGGGAACCUGCACUUAGGUUCGGAAUAACUCCCCGAAAGGGGUGCUAUUACCGGAUCAUAUCUUCGGCCCAAAGAUUUAUCGCCUUUGUAUGGGCCCGCGUUGGAUUAGCUAGUUGGUAGGGUAAAAGCCUACCAAGGCGACGAUUCAUAGCUGGUCUGAGAGGAUGAUCAGCCACACUGGGACUGAGACACGGCCCAGACUCCUACGGGAGGCAGCAGUGGGGAAUAUUGGACCAUCGGCGGAAGCCUGAUGCAGCAAGGCUGCGUGAGUGAUGAAGGCCUUAGGGUUGUAAAGCUCUUGUACCCGUGAUGAUAAUGACAGUACCGAGAGAAUAAGCUCCGGCUAACUCCGUG
RNAcentral lists this ribosomal RNA (433 nucleotides) under uncultured bacterium. RNAcentral describes it as "partial 16S ribosomal RNA". It matches the Rfam family "Bacterial small subunit ribosomal RNA", at positions 29 to 507 of the family's 1533-position model. The record is from RNAcentral.